CCUACGGGAGGCAGCAGUGAGGAAUAUUGGUCAAUGGACGAGAGUCUGAACCAGCCAAGUAGCGUGAAGGAUGACUGCCCUAUGGGUUGUAAACUUCUUUUAUAUGGGAAUAAAAUGUUCCACGUGUGGGAUUUUGUAUGUACCAUAUGAAUAAGGAUCGGCUAAAUCCGUGCCAGCAGCCGCGGUAAUACGGAGGAUCCGAGCGUUAUCCGGAUUUAUUGGGUUUAAAGGGAGCGUAGGUGGAUUGUUAAGUCAGUUGUGAAAGUUUGCGGCUCAACCGUAAAAUUGCAGUUGAAACUGGCAGUCUUGAGUACAGUAGAGGUGAGCGGAAUUCGUGGUGUAGCGGUGAAAUGCUUAGAUAUCACGAAGAACUCCGAUUGCGAAGGCAGUUCACUGGACUGCAACUGACACUGAGGCUCGAAAGUGUGGGUAUCAAACAGGAUUAGAUACCCUUGUAGUC
This 460-nucleotide ribosomal RNA is filed under the name uncultured bacterium. RNAcentral describes it as "partial 16S ribosomal RNA". It matches the Rfam family "Bacterial small subunit ribosomal RNA", at positions 338 to 795 of the family's 1533-position model. The record is from RNAcentral.